CUUUUUAAAAAUAUCUUACAAAGAGGCUUGUGUUCUGAAAUCCCUGGUUUUAUCCAGGCUUAUCCCUCGGCGAACACUCAUGCAGUCUGUUCGGGAUUGUGAUCAGUAAAUGAAGUGAAAAUUGAAAUGAGGUAACUAGUGUAUGCUCUUUGUUUCAUAUAUAUUUUCCAGAUAACCAUGCUUUCAUUUUCCUUGAAGUAAGAACCAACCCAGAAAUCUUGUCUCUCCCUUGGAGCAAGGAAGCUAAUGGGAACAGUUCUCUUUCACAAAUGGCAGAUGUGAUGAGAAGCAUGCCGACUUACGUCCUGCAGCUCAUUCUGAAUGUUUGUUUUCAGCAAUCAAAAUAUAGAAGAGGACAUUUCCUGACUUUCUGCCAAGGGAUUUGCUCUAAAUUGUGCCUUUUAAAUAAAAUAUCCCACACGGAAUCGUGUACACUACCAAUCUGAAAAAUGAAUGCAGAACAGAGGGUUUUUUUUUCUACUGAACAACAUUUAUGUAAUGCCCACUUGACCUGAUUUGCUUCUUGCAAUGAAAAUUGCUGUGGCAUACAUACUUUGCAUUCAG
RNAcentral lists this long non-coding RNA (564 nucleotides) under Mus spicilegus (steppe mouse). RNAcentral describes it as "lncRNA (ENSMSIG00000001427.1)". Lineage: Eukaryota; Metazoa; Chordata; Mammalia; Rodentia; Muridae. The record is from RNAcentral.